AAUGGCGAGACUCCUGAGGGAGCAGUGCCAGUCGAAGACAGGGGCCCCAACACAGAAGCUGACAUAUAGUCAGCUUACAACAAUGUGCCGGUUGGGGUGGCUGAGACGGCACCCUAGGAAGGGACCCAUCAUCAAAAAUUCUAUUUAUAGAAUUUUACAG
RNAcentral lists this small RNA (160 nucleotides) under Staphylococcus aureus. It matches the Rfam family "S. aureus tsr24 small RNA", at positions 129 to 238 of the family's 238-position model. Lineage: Bacteria; Bacillati; Bacillota; Bacilli; Caryophanales; Staphylococcaceae. The record is from RNAcentral.